UACAGAGGGGGCAAGCGUUGUUCGGAAUUACUGGGCGUAAAGCGUGCGCAGGCGGUUUGCUAAGACAGGUGUGAAAUCCCCGGGCUUAACCUGGGAACUGCGCUUGUAACUGGCAAGCUAGAGUGUGGCAGAGGGGGGUGGAAUUCCACGUGUAGCAGUGAAAUGCGUAGAGAUGUGGAGGAACACCGAUGGCGAAGGCAGCCCCCUGGGCUAACACUGACGCUCAUGCACGAAAGCGUGGGGAGCAAACAGG
RNAcentral lists this ribosomal RNA (253 nucleotides) under uncultured bacterium. Its description in RNAcentral is "partial 16S ribosomal RNA". It matches the Rfam family "Bacterial small subunit ribosomal RNA", at positions 524 to 776 of the family's 1533-position model. The record is from RNAcentral.